CCUACGGGGGGCAGCAGUGAGGAAUAUUGGUCAAUGGACGAGAGUCUGAACCAGCCAAGUAGCGUGAAGGAUGACUGCCCUAUGGGUUGUAAACUUCUUUUAUAUGGGAAUAAAAUGUUCCACGUGUGGGAUUUUGUAUGUACCAUAUGAAUAAGGAUCGGCUAACUCCGUGCCAGCAGCCGCGGUAAUACGGAGGAUCCGAGCGUUAUCCGGAUUUAUUGGGUUUAAAGGGGGCGUAGGUGGAUUGGUAAGUCAGUUGUGAAAGUUUGCGGCUCAACCGUAAAAUUGCAGUUGAAACUGGCAGUCUUGAGUACAGUAGAGGUAGGCGGAAUUCGUGGUGUAGCGGUGAAAUGCUUAGAUAUCACGAAGAACUACGAUUGCGAAGGCAGCUUACUGGACUGCAACUGACACUGAGGCUCGAAAGUGUGGGUAUCGAACAGGAUUAGAUACCCGUGUAGUC
This 460-nucleotide ribosomal RNA is filed under the name uncultured bacterium. RNAcentral's name for it is "partial 16S ribosomal RNA". It matches the Rfam family "Bacterial small subunit ribosomal RNA", at positions 338 to 795 of the family's 1533-position model. The record is from RNAcentral.